UUGUUGUCUGGAGAAGCGUCCUCAGCGGCGGACCGGGCCCAAGUCCCCUGGAAAGGGGCGCCGGAGAGGGUGAGAGCCCCGUCGUGCCCGGACCCUGUCGCACCAUGAGGUGCUGUCUACGAGUCGGGUUGUUUGGGAAUGCAGCCCUAAUCGGGCGGUAAAUUCCGUCCAAGGCUAAAUACGGGCGAGAGACCGAUAGCGAACAAGUACCGCGAGGGAAAGAUUAAAAGGACUUUGAAAAGAGAGUCAAAGAGUGCUUGAAAUUGUCGGGAGGGAAGCGGAUGGGGGCCGGCGAUGCG
Gossypium arboreum is the source of this 299-nucleotide non-coding RNA. NCBI's taxonomy places the organism in Eukaryota, Viridiplantae, Streptophyta, Magnoliopsida, Malvales, Malvaceae. The record is from Rfam.